Molecule: transfer RNA, 86 nt
Filed under: Bacteroidota bacterium
Lineage: Bacteria; Pseudomonadati; Bacteroidota
Description: Bacteroidetes bacterium (sediment metagenome) tRNA-Ser
Rfam family: tRNA
About the family: Transfer RNA (tRNA) molecules are approximately 80 nucleotides in length. Their secondary structure includes four short double-helical elements and three loops (D, anti-codon, and T loops). Further hydrogen bonds mediate the characteristic L-shaped molecular structure. tRNAs have two regions of fundamental functional importance: the anti-codon, which is responsible for specific mRNA codon recognition, and the 3' end, to which the tRNAs corresponding amino acid is attached (by aminoacyl-tRNA synthetases). tRNAs cope with the degeneracy of the genetic code in two manners: having more than one tRNA (with a specific anti-codon) for a particular amino acid; and 'wobble' base-pairing, i.e. permitting non-standard base-pairing at the 3rd anti-codon position.
Source: RNAcentral
GGAAGGGUGGCAGAGUUGGUCGAUUGCGCCGGUCUUGAAAACCGGAGAUGGGCAACCAUCCGUGGGUUCGAAUCCUACCCCUUCCG